UAAAGUUGUUGCGGUUAAAAAGCUCGUAGUCGGAGGUGUGUCUCGGACGGUCGGUUCGCCGCUUGUCGGUGCUCAACUGGCCGGUCCGGACGUCCUGCCGGUGGGGUCGCGAGGCCCCGUUAUCCUUCUUUGGUCCUCUUCACCGAGUGCCUUGGUGGGCCGGCACGUUUACUUUGAACAAAUUAGAGUGCUCAAAGCAGGCCGUUGGUCGCCUGAAUACUGUGUGCAUGGAAUAAUGGAAUAGGACCUCGGUUCCAUUUUGUUGGUUUUCAGAACUCGAGGUAAUGAUUAAUAGGGACGGACGGGGGCAUUCGUAUUGCGACGUUAGAGGUGAAAUUCUUGGAUCGUCGCAAGACGAACCGAUGCGAAAGCAUUUGCCAAGAACGUUUUCGUUGAUCAAGAACGAAAGUUAGAGGUUCGAAGGCGAUCAGAUACCGCCCUAGUUCUAACCAUAAACGAUGCCAGCUAGCCAUCCGCCGAAGUUCCUUCUAUGACUCGGCGGGCAGCUUCCGGGAAACCAAAGCUCUUGGGUUCCGGGGGAAGUAUGGUUGCAAAGCUCAAACUUAAAGGAAUUGACGGAA
Molecule: ribosomal RNA, 581 nt
Filed under: Rimanella arcana
Lineage: Eukaryota; Metazoa; Arthropoda; Insecta; Odonata; Rimanellidae
Description: SSU rRNA
Rfam family: Eukaryotic small subunit ribosomal RNA
Source: RNAcentral